Molecule: ribosomal RNA, 341 nt
Filed under: Balanoidea sp. MM-2014
Lineage: Eukaryota; Metazoa; Arthropoda; Thecostraca; Balanomorpha
Description: partial 12S ribosomal RNA
Source: RNAcentral
GUGUACACAAGACAGAGCUCUCAUCAAGUUUAGGUAAACUUUACAAUUAAAUCCACCUUCAAAAAUUAGUUUCAUAAUUUUAUCCGUAUUAUUCUUAUAAAUGUAACCCACCUCUUUCUUUUAUAUAAGUUGCACCUUUACUUGAAGUCAAUGGUUUUAUCAAAAAUGAAAGUUUUCUAAAGAAACUAACUGACAACAGCGGUAUACAAACUGAUUUCAAAUAAAAGUAAGGUAUUCGUGGUUCAUCGUUCACAGGGCAGGUUCCUCUAAAUGGCUAUCUUGCCGCCAAAUCCGUUAAAUUUCAUAAAAAAUACUACUCCAAAAAAUUUUAAUUAUAAGUA